RNAcentral lists this long non-coding RNA (2518 nucleotides) under Patiria miniata (bat star). RNAcentral describes it as "uncharacterized LOC119724843". The record is from RNAcentral. Lineage: Eukaryota; Metazoa; Echinodermata; Asteroidea; Valvatida; Asterinidae.
UUACAUCAUUAUCAUCGACCUCCACGCGCGCGCGCGACAGCCCGCCCGCACAGUCCACCCGAACCUAUAAAAAACGACCGUGUCACCACUGAUAGGUUAAAAGUGUGUGAGCUUAACGAGAGACGACAGUAACGUCAAAUUACAGGACUCACUUCUCGCUCAGGAACCGCGGGGGAAAGCAAGACAGAUCGUGCAGCGAAUGCUAGAGGAGUGGACACACUGUUACCAAUUGAUCAGGUAGUUUAUCAACGGCGGAUCAGCUGUAGUGGUACAAGUUUAGGUGUAUUGUGAGAUAAACCGGUGGAAACAAUGAAUAGUCUUUGUCACGUGAUCGUCCUGUCGGCCGCCUUUUGUUUACUCCUGGCGCUAGCGUCCGGGUACCCGCUCCAGGAACCAGGAAACGCGCUGACAGAAGACAUGAUGGAGCGCCGCAGCGCCGCACAGAGAUUCACCGUCGAUGAACUCCUAAAUUUCCUAAACGAACGGUACCAGGAAACACCAGAUAAACGGCAGAUGCGGCAAACAGGACUUAGUGCCAUUGACAACGUGAAAGGGAUGUACUACAAUGACAAGAUGAACAGAGUGUUGGCCGCCAUCCAACGCCACAUGAGCAGACGUUAAAGGGUUCUUGCAAGGGAGCAUUGAGUGGUCUCAUCAGUUAUUUGCGACGUGACGUCACGGACUUGGGAAACACUGGCCGAUCAGGAAUGGGCGGCAACUCUUUUAUUUUACCUUUUGUUUGGCGGGGGGGGGGAGCAACAUUAGGGGCAUCCUGAAACAAUAAACAUGUUGUGAAGUUGCAUACCGUUCGAGGAAAAAUCAGUUACUUGUGUUUAACACGAGCUUGUAUAUGGAAUAACCAAGUGCUCUCUGAGAUAUAUUUAGCGCACUUAACCUACAAAAGACUUAAAACCCCAGGAAUUUUUCAAUUCAAAGAUUUGGAAAGAAAACCUCAAUGAGAGAAGAUUUUCACUCUAAAUUUAGUCUGGAAUAUAUAUUUUAUGAAUGUUGCUUCGAUGCUUAGCGGAGGGUAUAGCCAGAAAUCGGGUGUUAUGUUAUUUGUUAAAAAACAUAAAAACAUUGUAAUUAUUUUCACAUGGAGCAUAAACAUUUUUCAGAUAACCUUUUCUUUAGGUGUGAUUAAUUUAUCUUAAUAGCAAAUAGCGUUUCUUCUGAACACGAAGCGGUAUUUAAUUUGCUAGUCACAUUUUUGUCUUCAUUUUUCCACCAUGCGAACUGCAUCAUACAUUUCACAUGUAUUUGUUUUUGCUGUUAGCAUGUGUUUCGCACAUCCUCAUGCAGUGAUUCACACCGUAUAACUGUUCAACUUUUUAUUUUAAUAUAGCAUCUGUAUAUCUCUGCCACAGUGUCGACAUAAAGAAUCGCUAUACCGAAACGCAUAUUCGCCUUAACUCAUCUUAACUAAUAGAAGUAGGCCUACUCCUCAAAAUUUUAAUGAAAUAGUUUAGUUUAAUCUUACCAAUUAACAUUACACAUGCAACCUAAAACAAAGCUUAAAACCACCACAAAUUAUUGUAGUGGCUUCUAAACCAAAUAUUUGCUCUGUUCCUAUGCACAAGCGCACUUCCACUACCAGAAAGCUAACUUAUACCCUUAACUCAUCCAUUUGAAAGGUGACUGCACUAUUAAAGUCUCUCAUUGCAGUCAGACAACGACCACGGCAAUUCUGUCAGAAUGACCUUUGAUGCAAGGGUAUCUGAAAAACCACACGUGCGCACUACUAAUGAGCAGCCCGUUCCGCGCGUACGCGUAUUCGGGAGCUAAGCCAAUCAGACUCUAGGAAAGGCUGUGUAGUCAAGGCCCAAAGCAACCAAUGAGUUGUCAGGAGUUUUAAGAGCGCGUUUCCUGUCCUUGUAUACAUAAUUGAUACGAGAUGAGCUCUUCGGGGUAGGCAAAAGCCUUGAGGACGGGCAAUUUGUAAAUCCCAUUAAGGCAAAAUAACUCUCAGUUUACCAAGUAAUUGCAAUGUUUUAAUCACUUAAAUUUAAUGUACGGUAAUUCAUCAAUGUAAUUAUCGUAAGAUGAGUUGUCAAGCCCAUGCCUUUUGGAGAAUUCUACCAGGCUGUAAAGUAAAGUACUUCAUAUAAAUUACUCCAAAAGAAACACUGCUAAGUUAACCUUGAAGGUGUAUUUUAUGCAUAUCCAAAAAAAUAGAGUAUUAUUAUUUAAGUAAAAAGUAAAUACCGCUGUUAUAUCCUGGCUAAGGCUAGUAGAAUAUAUUUUUGUCGAUCCGUGCCUUUUCGUAAAGGUACCAAUUCGCGUUUUAAAAGAGCUUAAACAAUUAGUUAUUGCAAUGUACAUAUUUCACAAGUAGUUUUGUUAGAGCCGCGUGUUAUCUGCGAUAGCACUGUUUCAGGCAGCAGAAAAAUAAUAUUGGGGUUUUUCAAAAUGUUGUACAAGUUUCGUUCAGUGUGUAAUUAUCAUGGAACAUAAUAUAGGGGCAAUUUUGGGUAAAGAAUGGUAUACAAUAAACCACGAAUACAGACUCAGUAUAAUA